CAUGUUCGAGUCUCUCCAAGUUUAGAAUUUGGAUCCACUAGAGUCGCCGCGUUUGAUUGUAGUUCACCUAUCAACACUUUUAGUAAUUAAUCAUUAUAUUGUUUAAAUCCACAAAAAAGCAUCUGACAUAAAUGAAAGAUGUGAGCUUAACUUGGGCUUCCUUUUUCAUAGCUUUAAUUUCCACUUGAAUAGAAGAACUUUUUGUGGAACUUGAUGGACCA
This 221-nucleotide long non-coding RNA is filed under the name Medicago truncatula (barrel medic). RNAcentral describes it as "long non-coding RNA (MTRU_LNC007585)". Lineage: Eukaryota; Viridiplantae; Streptophyta; Magnoliopsida; Fabales; Fabaceae. The record is from RNAcentral.